RNAcentral lists this ribosomal RNA (424 nucleotides) under uncultured prokaryote. Its description in RNAcentral is "bacterial SSU rRNA". It matches the Rfam family "Bacterial small subunit ribosomal RNA", at positions 355 to 796 of the family's 1533-position model. The record is from RNAcentral.
UGGGGAAUAUUGGACAAUGGGGGCAACCCUGAUCCAGCCAUGCCGCGUGCGUGAAGAAGGCCUUAGGGUUGUAAAGCGCUUUCAGCGGGGACGAUGAUGACGGUACCCGCAGAAGAAGCCCCGGCUAACUCCGUGCCGGCAGCCGCGGUAAUACGGAGGGUGCGAGCGUUAAUCGGAAUUACUGGGCGUAAAGCGCGCGUAGGUGGUUCUGUAAGUCGGAUGUGAAAGCCCAGGGCUUAACCUUGGAACUGCAUUCGAUACUGCAGGACUAGAGUAUGGUAGAGGGAAGUGGAAUUUCCGGUGUAGCGGUGAAAUGCGUAGAGAUCGGAAGGAACACCAGUGGCGAAGGCGACUUCCUGGGCAAAUACUGACACUGAGGUGCGAAAGCGUGGGGAGCAAACAGGAUUAGAUACCCCCGUAGUCC